Molecule: long non-coding RNA, 2416 nt
Organism: Quercus robur (English oak)
Lineage: Eukaryota; Viridiplantae; Streptophyta; Magnoliopsida; Fagales; Fagaceae
Exons: 6
Source: RefSeq, a predicted model, not a curated record
GUCUCUCAUCCCCUCUCUCUCUCUCUCUCUCUCUCUAGCUCAUCUCAAACCAAGCCUCUCUCUUUCUCUCUCUCUCUCUGUCUCUCAUUCAGUCCUCACUCUCUAUCUGACGGUGGUAGUGGUGUUUUUUUGGGUGAUUUUUUAUGGUGAUAUUGGUGUGGGUCUAGUGUUUUGCUUGCAAAAUCGGUGAGGAUUUGAUGGUCUGGUAGUUUUGGUGAUGGGUUUUGGUUGUGGGUAUGUGUCAUUUUGGCUGUGGUUCUGGUUACUUGCUUGCAAGGUCUAACGGGUUACUGGAAAGAUUGGCGUGGGGCUGAUGGUCUAGUAAUUUUGGUGAUGGGCUUUGGCCAUGGGUAUGGGUUGUUUUGGCUGUGUAUCUAUUGGUUUGCUUAUGAGAUCGGUGUGGAGUAGGGGUGUCCAGUGACCUGGACCAACUGACCUGCCCGCCCGAACUAAAGGCUCAGACCUCAGAAGCUCCCAACUCUCCCAGAAUGGCUUCAAUCAACCUCUACCAUUUCACUCUGUUGCUUCUGUCUUGUUUACAGUACUAAUGCUGGAAAAUAGAGGGGUCGAGGAAAGGCUAAAGGGAUCAAUGCCAGAGAUGGUGAAAUAGAGGUUGAGAUUUAUGAUGGCAAAAUUAUUACAACAAAAGCCACUCGAGAGAUUACCAUUUUUUUUCACCAGAAACUUAAUGGAGCUUGGACAACUUUGACAGAAUACCCAAAUUCUGAGCUAGAGACUUUAUAUGCUCGAUACCGAGCUUAACGCUUUAAGCAUAAGCAACCUGAUGAGGAAGUCAAGAAGGCAUUUAUAGAAUCAGUGAAACAUCGCUAUUCUGAUUGGAUGUUUCGCAUUAGAAGUCCUAUUUUUCAGAAGUACAAAGCGAAAGAAGAUCGUUACAAGAAUGGUCCUUCCUUCAUUCCUACACCUUUUUGGAAAGAGAUGGUGGAUAAAUGGAUGGAGGGAGAUUGAGGGGAGAUAAGUUCGACAAAUAAGGAAAACUGAAAUAAGUCUAAAAUUUCUCCACUACAAGUUCUAUACCAAUAGCCAAGUACAAAUAUGAAAUGUAUCUUGAGAUGGGCUCUGAGCUUGGCCCCAUUGAUUGCUUUAAGAAAUUUCACACAAAGAAGGAUGGCAAAGAAUGGACAACUGAUCAUGUUAAGACAUUAUACGAAAACAUGGAUGCCAUAAAGGCCAAAGUUGUUUUUGAAGGUACUAAGACAAAUGAUUAUCAAAUCUUUUGUGAAGUGGUUGGUGAACCAAAUCAUGGUCGUAUUUUUGGCAUGGGAAUAGGUAUUAAGGCUAAGGAUUUGUACGGCUUAACUUCAUCUGGUAAAGGUUGUAGCAAACAUUGUAGAGAAGAUUUUACAAAAAGAAGAUUUGGAGGCACAUCUUAGAGAGGAAAUGGAUUCCAAACUUGCAAAAGUUGUGGAGAAGCUUGAGGAGAAGUUUGCACAAAAGUUGCAGUUGAUAGACAUACCACAACAAUCUAAUGUAGAUCCAGCUACCACGAUACAUUCUCAAACUUAUGUUUUGCCUCUUGGAUCUUCUACAACUUUUUAUUGGUUUGUUGUGGUUUACAGCUUGCAUCUAUUAUAAUAUUAUAUUAUUUUAUAUUUAGUUUUGAUAAAUGAUAAUAGGACUAUGAAACUAUCUAUUGUUUUGACAGUUGUGUAUAUGUUUUGUAUUUAAUUUUGUGUAUCAUCUUUUUUGUGGUUUACAUUUUUCACAAUUGUUAUAUUAUUUUAAUUUAUAUUUAAUUUUGAUAGUGGUUUAAGUAAUCAAAUUAAGUUAUUGUUAUUGUAAAAUUAAAAAAAAAAUUUACCCUGAGUAGUUUAGGGAUACUAGAACUGGUAAUUGCUCAUGUGGUUGCUUUAUGCCUCCAUAAGCAGUCUGUAGGGAUGCUACACAAUGUUUUAAAUACAAAGCAGUGAAUAGCAAACCUGACUUUUUAACUAGUCUCAGAACCUCUUUACUGAAAAGGUAAGUUCAAUACAGCUUUCCUUGCUUAGCUUAUCCGAGACCAUAAGGAGUUUACUGUUGUUUAUGAUAUAUUAUUAUACGAUUAGAUUUGAUACGGUACAUGUGUACUUAUUUAUUGAAGCAUUGAUACAAAUACAAAUUCACUUUAAUUGUUUCAUUUUAAUUCAUGUUUAAUGUUUUUUAUUUUAUUUUAUUUUAUUCUUAUUAUUUUAAGGAUGGUACCAGCAGAGAUGAAGAGGACAACUCAAACAAUAACAUAGAGGUUGUAAACAACUUGAAGGGUGACUUGGAGGAAGACUAAUAUAGAUCUUGUCUUAAUUCUAGUUGUUUAAGUUUAAAGCAAGGUUUAAUUUCAGGAUUUCUUUGUAUAUUUUAUAUUUUAAAGUUUGAACUUAUAUGAAUUUUUAUCUUUUGAUGGAUCAAUUUUUAGUAAUUA